GGGGGAGAACACUACAAAGGUGCAGGGAAACACUAGAAAGGUGCAGGGAAACACUACAAAUAAUCAACCACAUAUUCAUUGUGUAGUAUUAUUCAUCACUCCUUGUAUCCUUAAACGCUCUCAAUCCCUUUGAGACUCGUUUAGUUUAGUUUCCCCCAUUUCUGGCUGUGUAGUAUUAUUCACCACUCACGACAUCCCUGAUCAGCGAAUAACCUCCAGUUACCCUAGACCAGUUGAGUAUUCGUAACACUCUUAGUACUCAGCUUCCUGCCGAAAUUUCCUUAAGUAUUAACAUCACUUCUGGUACUCAACUACCUCGCCGAGAUUUCCUUGAGUUUCACCCAUUCCUAGUUGUGCAAUAUUCUUC
RNAcentral lists this long non-coding RNA (367 nucleotides) under Vigna radiata. Its description in RNAcentral is "long non-coding RNA (VRAD_LNC013126)". The record is from RNAcentral. Lineage: Eukaryota; Viridiplantae; Streptophyta; Magnoliopsida; Fabales; Fabaceae.